GCAGCCAUCAUUUAAAGAAAGCGUAAUAGCUCACUGAUCGAGUCGUCCUGCGCGGAAGAUGUACCGGGGCUAAGCCAAUAACCGAAGCUGCGGAUGUGCCGCGAGGCACGUGGUAGGAGAGCGUUCUGUAAGCCUGUGAAGGUGUCUUGUGAAGGAUGCUGGAGGUAUCAGAAGUGCGAAUGCUGACAUAAGUAACGAUAAAAGAAGUGAAAAACUUCUUCGCCGAAAAUCCAAGGGUUUCUGCGCAAGGUUAAUCCGCGCAGAGUUAGUCGGCACCUAAGGCGAGGGCGAAAGCCGUAGUCGAUGGAAAUAAGGUUAAUAUUCCUUAACCAGAUGGUAGUGACGGAUCUUGUAAGUUGUGAGUUCUUAAUGGAUUGAACUUGCAGUGAAUUUGUCCCUGGAAAUAGCUCCAGCAUUAGACCGUACCAAAACCGACACAGGUAGGAAGGUAGAGCAUACCAAGGCGCUUGAGAGAACGAUGUUGAAGGAACUCGGCAAAAUGCUUCCGUAACUUCGGGAUAAGGAAGACCUGUUUUUAGGCAACUAGAGAUGGGUGGCACAAGCCAGGGAGAAGCGACUGUUUAUCAAAAACACAGGACUCUGCUAACUCGCAAGAGGAUGUAUAGAGUCUGACGCCUGCCCGGUGCUGGUA
RNAcentral lists this ribosomal RNA (652 nucleotides) under Alexandrium tamarense. RNAcentral describes it as "partial Bacterial large subunit ribosomal RNA". It matches the Rfam family "Bacterial large subunit ribosomal RNA", at positions 1112 to 1874 of the family's 2925-position model. Lineage: Eukaryota; Dinophyceae; Gonyaulacales; Pyrocystaceae. The record is from RNAcentral.